UGUCUCCUGAGGUGUUUGAGAGCUGGUUAAGUCCCUCGAGCCUAUAUCCUUCUAAACGGGAGUGUCACUUUGAUGUUGUGUGCAUGUCCGCUUGCCGGAAAGCCUAAUAUGUCAGAAACUGCUCCCUCUCUGAACCUCACGGUUCAGGGCCAGAACCAGUAAACGGCACCUUGGGAGACCC
RNAcentral lists this non-coding RNA (181 nucleotides) under Nitrincola sp. A-D6. RNAcentral's name for it is "6S / SsrS RNA". It matches the Rfam family "6S / SsrS RNA". Rfam says of the family: E. coli 6S RNA was the first non coding RNA to be sequenced, but its function was unknown until recently. The record is from Rfam by way of RNAcentral. Lineage: Bacteria; Pseudomonadati; Pseudomonadota; Gammaproteobacteria; Oceanospirillales; Oceanospirillaceae.